UGGUCAUUGGUAAAAAUUACAACAGACUCUUGUCUGUCGCUUCAGUUAUGUUAAUGUGACAGUUUUUGCCAAGUUUUGUGUAGUUUUCUUAAUUUUUUUUAUAAAUACGUGAAAAAUGUUAUAUAAUGUUACGAAAUAAUUAAUUAUCUAGUAGUACGAUAUGUAUAUCAAUACUUCUAUGGUGCAUACAAGUCAUUACUAAUUCGGAGUGUUCAACUAUAACUAACCUCCUCUUCACAAGUAGCGACUACGUGACUUCGAAAUCUUGAGAAAUCAAUUUAAAAUGGAAAAAAAUAUGGCGUUCGCUAGUGGAAGUACUCAACCCUCGGCUCCUCCACCUUCGGCACCUCCUUCUUAUGAGGAGGCUGUUGAAAAUGCAGCUCGUGUAUCUCGGCAACCAAACAUUCCAGUAGCAAUUCCAUAUCCAGUGGGACCAUCUUCUAUGCCAAUGCCAUCUUCUAUGCCUCAUAACGCUCCUCAGAUAAUUCCAUCGAAUCAGACGACGGUGCCAUAUCCACCGAAUUAUUCUGGGCCCAGCGAAUCUAUGCCACAGCCACAAACACAAUAUAAUGCAAAUCCGAAUGCGGUGCCUCAACCGGAAGUCCGAGUUGUCUAUCAGCCAAUGAUUUAUUCUCUGAGUCCAAAUCCAACAAAAACAACGUGUCCCACUUGUCAUGCUAGUAUUAAAACUUCCACAAUGUCGGAUCAUCAGCGUUGUGCUCAUCUAUGCUGUAUCUUGCUCUGCUUAUUUGGGGGUGGACAAGGCGUACGAUGCUUAGGGAUGCUUGGUCGAACGACGGUGGGAAAGGCUGGUGGCGAUGGUGGUCUAGGUUGGGCGGAUUGCUGGCGAUGGCGACGGCCAUUUCCUGUCUUGUUGCCCCGUUUCCGGGCGCCUCGGCCAAUUCGGAAGCGAAGCGUCUCUACGACGACCUGCUGUCCAACUACAACCGCCUCAUCCGCCCCGUUGGCAACAACAGCGAUCGCCUCACUGUCAAAAUGGGACUACGCCUCUCCCAGCUCAUCGACGUUAACCUGAAGAACCAGAUCAUGACGACGAACGUUUGGGUGGAACAAGAGUGGAACGAUUACAAGCUGAAGUGGAACCCGGAUGAUUAUGGCGGUGUCGACACCCUCCACGUGCCGUCGGAGCAUAUAUGGUUGCCGGACAUUGUUCUUUACAACAACGCCGAUGGCAACUACGAGGUGACUAUUAUGACCAAGGCAAUUUUGCACCAUACGGGGAAGGUCGUGUGGAAACCGCCGGCCAUCUAUAAAUCAUUUUGCGAGAUCGACGUGGAGUAUUUCCCCUUUGACGAGCAGACUUGCUUCAUGAAGUUUGGUUCGUGGACUUACGACGGGUACACGGUCGACUUGCGACACCUCGCCCAGACCGAAGACUCGAACCAAAUCGAGGUCGGGAUCGACCUGACCGACUACUACAUUUCCGUCGAGUGGGACAUCAUAAAAGUGCCUGCCGUGAGGAACGAGGCGUUCUACAUAUGCUGCGAGGAGCCCUACCCCGAUAUCGUGUUCAAUAUCACCCUACGCCGCAAGACCCUCUUCUACACGGUGAACCUGAUCAUACCGUGCGUGGGCAUAUCUUUCCUCUCGGUGCUGGUGUUCUACCUGCCGAGCGACAGCGGGGAGAAGGUCUCGCUCUCGAUCUCGAUCCUGCUGUCGUUGACGGUGUUCUUCCUACUGCUCGCCGAGAUAAUACCGCCCACGUCGUUAACGGUGCCGUUGCUCGGCAAAUACCUACUGUUCACCAUGGUGCUGGUCACCCUCUCGGUGGUGGUGACGAUAGCCGUGCUGAACGUGAACUUUCGCUCGCCCGUCACCCACCGCAUGGCUAGGUGGGUGAGGGUGGUGUUCAUACAAGUGUUGCCGCGCUUCCUUCUCAUCGAGAGGCCGAAGAAGGACGAGGAGGAGGAGGAGGAGGAGGAGGUCGUGGUGGUUGGGAGGAACGGCGUUGCGGGGAUGAACGCCGACGGGGAGGCGGUGGACGGGGAGGGGGACGAGGACGAGGACGAGGACGACGACGACGACGACGUGGAGGCGGCCAACGGGAAACCGGCGGAGGGCAUGCUCACCGAUGUGUUCCAUGUACAAGAGACUGACAAGUACGACGCGUACUACGGCAACAGGUUCAGCGGGGAGUACGAGAUACCUGCCCACGGUCUGCCACCCUCGGCGACCAGAUACGACCUCGGCGCGGUGGCCACCGUGGGCACGACCGUAGCGCCCUGCUUCGAGGAGCCCCUACCCUCGCUCCCACUGCCGGGGGCUGACGACGACCUCUUCGGCCCGGCCAGCCCCGCAUACGUUCACGAGGACGUCAGCCCCACAUUCGAGAAGCCGUUGGUUCGCGAGAUCGAGAAGACCAUCGACGAUGCCAGGUUCAUCGCUCAGCACGCAAAGAACAAGGACAAGUUCGAGAGCGUGGAGGAGGACUGGAAAUACGUGGCGAUGGUGCUCGACCGGAUCUUCCUCUGGAUAUUCACGGUGGCCUGCGUGCUCGGCACGGUGUUGAUCAUUCUCCAGGCGCCGAGUCUCUACGAUACCACGAAGCCGAUCGACAUCAAGUACAGCAAGAUCGCGAAGAAGAAGAUGAUGCUGAUGAACAUGGGUCCCGAGGAGGACUAGUCGACGAUCCCGCGCGGCCCCGAGCCGCGUCCGCAGCGGCAGCUGCUUCACGUCGUCGUCGUCGUCGUUGUCGUCGUCGUCGUUGUCGUUCUCGUCAUCAUCCUCGUCGCCGCCGUCGCCGUCGCCGCCGCUGUCACCAUAACCGUGGUCGUUGUCGUGGCCGUUGUCGUUCAAUGGCCGCCGCCCAUCAUCCAAACUGCCGAUUUUCGCGUCGACGCGCAACAGGACCCUCUCUCGACCGCUGCUGCCAGAGAUGAUCGGAUCAUCUCCACAGAAGGAGAGGAAACACGGCCAGGAAACAAUAUCGUUACGCGACAAGGAGUCGCGGAGACCAGUCGAGGAUUCCACGGAGGUGGCGUCGAUCUUUCCCUCUCCGAACUUGCGAGGACGGCGAUCUUAUCCUGUUUACGGAUUUCGAUCCUGAAACUGUUUUUUCGAGACUUGGAUACGAGUGUUGAGUAUUGAGAAGGGGAGGAAGGCGAGAGAGAGAGAGAGAGAGAGAGAAUGGCCGAACGAGUGGAUGAGGA
Molecule: unclassified non-coding RNA, 3170 nt
Filed under: Apis florea (little honeybee)
Lineage: Eukaryota; Metazoa; Arthropoda; Insecta; Hymenoptera; Apidae
Description: acetylcholine receptor subunit alpha-like 1, transcript variant X6
Source: RNAcentral